GAAAAAUUGAUGCCCACUGACAUUCAUCACCACUUGCUGAAUGUUUAUGGAGGCCCGACAGUGGAUGUCAGCACAGUGAUGGGGUUGGAUGGUGCAUUUCAAGCAGUGGUGACAGCAGCAGUGGAUCACGUCCACUGGCGCAGAUUGUUAUGAGCAUGGCAUGAGGGCAUGCAAAAAUGCAUAGCUGAUGGUGGUGACUACACUGAAAGAGUGUCUUAUUUCUAUGGGAAUGGAUAGGAGGCAUUACUUUCAGAGUGACCUAUGUACUAAUUCUCUUGACAAAGGGUAACACGAGUGUCUAUUACAGGACUGGUUGUCUGACGAAGCCCCAUGUGGUGUUGGAGUUCUCCUCAGAGAUCUGAAUUGCGGCUCUCCAGCAUGAGAUGCUAUUUCUGAGAUACUCUUCAGGAACAAGCCCAUCAGGCAGGAAUAGCCAGAGCAUUUCCCAGUUUAGAUUCACCCAGGAAAUCAGUAGAUGCUUGGAGCUGGACUGCAUGCAUCCCCGCAGCAUCAGUACAAGGGCUGAGGCCACGCUACUGCAGAGCUGCCAACUGUAGAUGACAAAAGCAGAGCUGUCCCUGAAGAGCAGUGUGAAGGCUGAAUGUGGCACGUUCCAAGUCAGGGGAGCAGAAGAGGAAAGAAAGACAGUCCAUCACCAGGAGUUGCGCUGCCAGUAUUUUUCCACUUACUCUUUUUACAUUUUACAUUCAAACACUGUCCCAAAGGUUUAAGAGUUUCACUGUCUAAUGACUAAAUGUUAAGGCUUGUUUAGCGCACGCAGUUUUGGCAUGAAGCCAGCGCAAAUGUAUUACAAUGAGAUUCUAUUCUGUCUCCAAGUUAAUUAUUACACCGUAUGUUUCCUUUACAUUAACAGAAUGGCUCUCUCUUACCCUCUGUAGAGUUUCUGGAUGUCAGUAUAAAAUUCCUUUAGUGUUUUAGUAGAGAUCUUACUCUCUGUGAAGAUUUAGUGGAUGAGAGUCUCAGGGAAGCAGUUCAAGUGAAUUUUCUAGGUGCUCUAACAGGCAGCAAGGUUUCUCAGCUUUAUUCUUAGGCAAGCCCAUUGAACAGGGCCUUUGAUGGUCCCCCAGCACUUCCUUAUCUCUAAAUUGGAGAUCUGGGUUUGAAGAGUGGGCUGUUCAGUGGAUAAAUAAUUGGUUGGAAGGUCACAGUCAGAGGGUUGUGGCCAAAGGCUCUGUGUCCAGGUGGAGGCCUGUAAUGAGCUGUGUCCCCCAGGGGUCCACCUUGGGUCCAGUACUCUUUAACGUCUUCAUCAGUGACAUGGAUGAUGGGAUCGAGUGCACCCUCAGCAAGUUUGCUGAUGACACCAAGCUGAGUGGUGUGGUUGAUGCAGCAGAAGAAAGGGAUGCCACCCAGAGGGCCCUUGAUAAACUUGAUCAUGUAGCUUCUUCCUGUUUCAUCUCUCUGCUUUGCCAUGGGACAAAACAAGAAUGUUCUGAGCAAAGCAUGAGGGACAGUUGCAGCUACAUUUAUGGCAGUAUGGUCAGGUUGUGGUUGGACUCGAUGAUCUUGAAGGUCUUUCCCAGCCUGAGCAAUUCUAUGAUUCUAUGGGAGACAGAAAAUCAAGGUGCUGGUGGGUGGCUCAUCUGCACAGGGUGAAGUUAACUGCAGGGCUGCCAGGAGCAAAAAUUGGGAAGGGCUGCUUCUGCUGAAGAGCUGUGUGACUGACUAAACAUUAUAGAUCCUAUCAAACCACUGGGGACCACUGUGGGCGAAAUUUUCAGACUGCAUUGGAUUAUCUUCUCCAGGUGGAUGGACUGUUCCACCAUAAAUGAAAUUUUAAUACGAAAAACGUGUUUGUGUGGGGUAAUUGCUUCAGAGUAAAAUGAUUUUUAUUCAUGCUAAAGAAUUUGCAUGACUUAUGCUGGUGCAUUUGCCAAAAUAUUCAGGUCCAAAUGGAGGUUACAAAACUUUUUUGGUCUGGAACCGAAUGCACUCAAGCGCUGUUGUUUUUAUGAGUGUAUUGCUUUAAUACAACCUUACAGUUAAAUGGCAGUGCAUGCUGUGUUUAAGGGAUGUGCCUUUCUGACUAUGGACUCGUUUAGACUAACGGAGAGAGGAAUGUGAAUCAGGGGAGGGGUUGGGGGUUGUUGCUGAUGCCUAUGGCAGCAAAUGGGAUCUUCUUGGAGUUUGUUAACUCGUGAGAACUCCUAGGUGCUGUGCAGGAGUGAGCUCAGUGGACACGUGAAAGCGCAAUGACUUUUCUGCUACGGUUUCCCUCAGCUUUUUUUUUUUUUCUAGUGAUGAAGAGGUAUUUUGGCUGUGCUGCUCGUAGCCCUGCUUCAGGGCGGUAUUGCCAGGAUGACUGUUAGACGUGGUCAACCACUGCAUGGCAAAUGACGGAUGAUGACAGCUUUGAGAAUUAAACUUCACUUAGGCUGGUGUUCUGUGGUUUAAAAACAAAAGUCCGGAAAAUACCAAAUACCCACAGACAGCUUCCAAUUCCAGUGAUUUCUGUUUUCUCUCCUGUACUUUCUUAAUGAACAGAACCUAACAAGCUAAGGACUCUGAAAGCUACGGUUGUAGUUCAUUAGUUCUUUAAAACGCACUUCUAAUCUGAAAUCUUACACACCCUCGAUCAAGAAGUGUUAACAGUAACAGCCUGCAAAGGAUCGAUUUGUAAAGCUGUAAUCCCAGUUUUGAAGUUGGGGUUGUUGUUUCAGUGCAUUCACUUUUCUAUCCCCCUUUUUAUGAGGAUAGUCCUGAAAAGUAGACCUUUAAAAGCGCUUUUGAGCUUCAAGCGUUCUGCACAGAUGUGACUGGGAACCUUUUGACUCUGCUGACUUAUCCGUAUACGUUUUAAGCUUUACCACACACAGCAUUGACACCAUGGGCACAGCCACUGAGGGGCUGCCAUUCCCAUGUCUGCGGGCAGUGUGACUUCUUGCACAGAGCUUACAUGGCUGCAGUAUCAACGUCCCUGUAUAAAGGACACAAAGGAUUCUGACCGGACCAGUCCUGGGUGGGAUGAUCACAAAUGUUGCUUAGAGAUUGACCAAAGGGACAAUCUGGAGCUUUCAAACAGCGUGGUAGUCCUGCUCUGUGCUGGCUCUGGUAGCCCAUACUCCACUGUUUAGAAAUAAAGAAGCUGACAGUCUUCAAGAACACAGUAAUAUGAUACUAAUUUACAGUCUGCUGUGACUCACUGAUAUAAUUAGAAGCACAUUGUGUUUAUUUGUACUCCUAAAACCAAUGAGCUUAACUACCUCCUACUUUAGGAACAGUGCAGUACACCCUGUGUUUCAGUGGAUCACAAACAGAGGCCUGGCAUUUUCACACACAUCAUUUGUUUAUUUAAAAAAGGCAUAAUUCCCUUCCACACAUUAAUUCCCAAAUCAAUACAGAACAGUUUGUUCAUCGUGGGAGCUGAGGUAUCCGCUCAGCCUCAAACAAAAUUCUUGCAAAAAACAAACAAACAAACAAACAAACAACAACAACAACAAAAAAAAAAAAACAAAAAAACCACCACCCAAAAACCCAUGCUGGAAAAUGAUAAUCAGUUGCAACUAAUGGGUGAAUCAGAUUUUAUGUAUAUUUUGCUGAGACUGUUUACUGCAUGCAACUUCUGCUUAAAACCAAGGAAUCUCCCAGAGAAGCAGGCCCUGUAGGGGUGCCGAUGCCCUGCAGUCACACUGCUGUCCUAUGUCAGACUGAGGAGGGACUUCAGUUGAGUUUCUCAAGCCUCAGAAAUGCUGAAGUGUGCUGCUGUCAUGAGCAGCGUUGUGUCUGCUCUAUGCAGUGUGUUGAAACAGCUGGCAAAGUGAGAAUGUGACACACGAGACGGUAGGAAUGGGCGGUUUUGUGGGCUGCAGAUGAACAGUCAAAGUUUGGUUAUUUGCUCUGGCUGAUGUUUUGGUAGCUCUAGCAAGAGUCAGCCAGAAAGGGCCACCUUACAGUCUCCAUAUCCCUGUGGUAACGACGUUCAGCUGGUAUAAGAGGGAGCCAGUAGCCAAAUCCCCUCCCUGUGAGAGUCCUGUAUAGUUGAUAUUACUGUUUGCUCUGAGUUCCUUGUUCUCUGCUUCUUUGCAGGAAGUGUUGAAGGGUCUUGGUUUUCUCCCUCUAAGGGGCAGGAACAAUUUGCAAAGUUAGUUUCCAGUUUUUAUGAUUGAGAUUGAUUAUAUUCAAUGUCAGUAUACCCCCUACUUUAUAAUGAUGUGAUUUUGAAACGCAAUAUAUUAUAGUGCUUUCUUUUGUGUAAUAUGACUACAACACCAUAAAAACAUUUUGUUCCUCCAAAUCCAAGCAAACAAAACAUGUUCUGUAUUUACUUGAUGGUUUCAACCACAAGAAAUUUGACCUUCGUUGAAUUUGCUUAGUUUUUCUAUGGCUGAAAUGUCCAACGCAUUAAUUUAUCCUGUAUUGUAACUACUGUAACGUAUUUUUGUUUCAGUACACAGCAUCUCAAACAAAUGCAAAGUCUUUUUAUUUUUUACAUAAUGUGACAUAAACAUUUCAUACUUUAGAAAGGUAAAUAUUCUUAGUUUCAGGAGGCAGUUAAUAUCAUAUACGUAGAAAGGUGCCUGUGCUUAUGGAUACCAUUAUUUCUUUAUAUAAGGACUUACAUCUUUAUAUCAUUCUUUUUAUCCCUCUGUAUUAUUAUUAUUAUUGUAUCCUUUUAGUAUUUGUUGCUUGUAGGGUGAGGUUACAAGCGAGACUCUUCACUGACUUUGCUGACCAUCUAUGCAUUUGUUUGUGUUUGCCUUCGAUGGCAAGAAGUCUGGAGAUGAAAGCACUGACCACGGGGAAUGGGGGUUCCAAAAAAUAAGGCUUGUUUUUAAAAAUACAGAGCUGGACUUUCAGCAGUGCAAACUGUUUGGAGGUCUGUGCAGAAUCAGCAGGAGCCAUUAGUCAGUGUAGCUGUAUGCUGCAAAGGAGAACAACAAACCUAUAAGCUUUGUAAAAAUGCAAGUUUUAUGUAAAAUAUUGAAGCAGGAUAAGGGAUUUAACUCCAUGAUCAAAUGUGCCAAUUUUGCUCCGUGCAUUUCUGUACUUUUGUAUUCUUCUGGGAUCUCUGUAGUUCUGAAAGUCUCUUACCUGUUACAGUUUGCAUAAGCUCCAGAGAGUGCAGGGAUUAGCAAAGACUGUGGCAAAGAGUGCUCCAAACAAAGCUGUCUGCCUCUUCAAGGUUACUUGGAGAGCUUCUUCUUAUAAUAACAAACUCAGCAUCACUGUGAAACUACAAGCCAUACCAAACCACAAAUUGUAACGUUCCUAAGUGGUUCAAAAAAUGACUGUGAGUGCAAAGACAAGGUCGUGUUUAAAAGGCCAUGUUUGAAGGGCAUUUGAACACCCAACUUCUGUUGCCAUUAGUAUCAGUUCAUAAGGUUGUUCUGUGCUUCUCAUUCUGAUGUCAUAUUUUCUGCUUUAGAUAGCAGCAUCUGACUGCAAACAGUGAAAUUCUUAGAGAAUCAGCCUCAAAGUUUUCCCUUCACCAAGGAACAGUCCCUGCCUACAAGAGAGGCAAGAGUGCUUGUUCACUCUGCUGCAGAUAAACGUGCAGAGACUAGAGGCUCUGCCCUAACACAAGGACCUGCAGAUCUCCUUCUACCUACUUACCAGGGCUGGCUUCUGGAGUUUAGGAACAUAAAACAUAUUGAAGAUUUAAAUCAAGAAAAAAGAAGGGUUGGAGUACAUUCCUGCUGCCUGAAUUUCAAUGCCCAGAUCUUACUCCAGAUUUUGAGAGCAACAAUCUUUAACGCCAUUCUACUUGAGCAAGCGGAUCAGACCAGAUGGUCUCCAGAGAUCCCUGCCAACCUCAGCCAUUCUCUGAUUCCAUGUUAAAAUGUGGAAUGUAAAUAAGCCAGCAGAUGCUCAGAAUUCCCCUCCUCUCUUUUCCUGUUGAAAAUCUAUUUUCCUGUUGAAAAUCUAUUGUCCCAGUUCUAUGAUUGCUUAGACCCAUUCCUGUAAAUUAUUUAAGUUAAAAAUUCCAGUAAUGCUGUCUUGCUGCUAGUCAUCCUCACUCAUUUGCAGCUGGAAACAAAAGUGCCUUGCUUAAUGGAAUCUUUAAAUGACUGUGACUUCAGCUGUACGUGUUCACACAAGAUGUUUUUAAUAGAAUGCGUUGGAAGUGACCUUACAGUCCAUGACGCUGCCAGGGAAAACCCUGAAAAUCACUAUCUCAGCCUGCCCAGGGCCCCAUCCAAUCUGGCUUUGAUCAAAUGCCUUCAUGGACAAGACAUCCACAGCUUCCCUGGGCAACCUGCGCCAGCGCCAACAGCUCUACAUCCUUCUAUGUUGCAGGUCCCAGAGCUGAAUGCAGCACUCCAGGUAUGAUCUCACAAGAGUGGAGUAGAGAAUCGACUCCCUUGACAUGCUAGUAAGAUUUAUUUUCAUGCAGCCCAGGAUACAACUGGCUUCCUGGGCUGCAAGUGCUCAUGUUGUUGUCUCAUGUUCAGUUUUUUGUCCUCCAAUACCCUCAAACCCUUCUCCCCAGGGCUGCUCUCCACCAUUUAUUGCCCAGCCUGUAUUCAUAUUUGGGAUUGCCCUGAUGCAGGUGCAGAACCCUGUAUUUGACCUAAUUGAACUGCAUCUGGUUCACAUGGGCUACCUCUCAAGCCUGUCAUUGUCCCAUUGGAUGCUUCCACUGUCCUCCAACAUACUGACUUCACCACUCAGUGUGGUAUUGAUCUCAAACUUGCUGAAACAGCACCCAGUCCCAUGGUACAUGUCACUGAGAAGGACAUUAAAGGAACCAGUCUCAGUACUGACCCUUAAGAAAAGCACCAUCGCUGAUCUCCACCUUGACACUGAGCAGUUCCCAAUGGUUUGAGUGCAGCAGCUCCAUCUACCAUUUCUCUUGGGACCCUUGGUUGCAUCUCAUUAAGUCCCACAGAUUUGCACACAUACAAAUUUCUUAGAUGAUAGUCUUGAAUGUGAUCUCCUACGGCAGACAGUACUUCAUUUUUCCAUUCCAUGCAUUCAGGUGCUGUGAAUUGGGCACAGGUGGUACUAAGGGACCCAGCAUGGCAACGGAGAUGGCAAUAACAAGAAACACAGUUGUUGGGCAACAGUCAGCUUGGUCCCAUUUUCACAGACAUAAUGCUGAAAUGAAAUCACCCUUCCCCCAUGGUGAAGUCUUUAUUUUUUGCCCAUUAUGAUCACAGUACUUUAUUUUAAGGAUGAGACAAUGAACUUGGGGAAAUGUGAGAUAAUCCUUGGGAUGUACUCCAGUCUUUAUUGUUUCUACUAUGUUCUACUCACAGCAAACAACCAUUAAGGUAUUUGAUUCGGUCCCAGACUGUCAUUUUAUGAAGCAAUAAAAUAUGUUUAUGUAAUUGAAGUAUCUAUUCUCUGAGUAAAGGACAAGAUUAUUAAGUUGUAAAAGUAGCAUGGUGACUGAAAUGUAGUUAAUUUGCUUUUAUUUUUCUUUUUUAAAUGCAAGAAUUACUUUAACUAAUCUUUGAAAUCAUUCCCAGUUUGAGAAAUAAAAUUAAUCCAAGUGAACAUACGCAGUUCUAUUCAGAAAUAAAAUUCUGUAUAACUGCUUUUGGUCCAAAAGAUUAUUUGGGUCUAGUACUUUGUUUUUAAAAUUACUCAUUAUAUGAGCAAAUUCUCCAUCAAUAGUAUUGAUUCCACAAUUUAAAGAGUGCAAAUAAAGGCAAGGAACAAACUGAGAAUGGAGUAGAACACAGUAACUUAGUGUGCAUUCAAACGCAGUUAUUAAAGUGCAAGUUAAUUACAGAGAGGAAUUGGAGGGAACUGUCCGGAGAGGUCACUCCUGAAGCUGUAAAAGAAGGGAUAAGAUGGGAGCAAAUGUUUAUCUACAGGGUUAUUGCACACUGUGCAAUGUCUGCAUUGUUUUUCCCAUUUCACAAUGUAUUUCUGGUCCAGAGAAGCAGUAACCAAUUACUGUAUACCCAAAUGAUGCCACAUUAAUGGCACUGAUGUUGGUGGUCGUUUCUUGAACAGGUUGCAACCACUCUGUAUCUUAUUACAACAUUGGCCAGGGAUUACAGUGCAGAGACUUGCAGAAAGCUGGUGUGAGGUCUCCGCUUUGCCCAAUGUGCUUCCCAAACCAAAACGGAGAGGUGAUGUUAUUGUUAAGAAAAGAAAAAAUUAACAACAGCCCUAGAAAGAAACAUAUGGAAAGAGGAAUAAGAACAAGGAAGGACAGACUUAGAUUUGGCAGAAGGCUUCCCUUGGGGUAAUUAAUGUUUUGCAAAGGCAGCCGUCCUGGAAGCUGAAGAAACAUCUGUAAUGGUAAGCCCACAUCAAAUGAGUAUGAUACCAGUAAGCAAACCCAAGGAAGAGAAACUGGAGGUUUCCAGCUCAUGAUACUGCAUGUUAAACAUGAUUUCUCAGUUCCAACUAUGAGUUUUGUGAAUCCUAAAGACAUCCAUAUGGGUGACCAUUAAGCUACUGCCAUUUGAAUACAAACGUCUGCCUUUUCUUUGAAAUAUGUUAUUUCUGGUUUUACCAACGUCCAGCAAAGGUGUUGAGUGUGUCAGCUGUGUGAUGUUAUUCUAUGCUCUCUAAAAAUAUUCCACCAUAAAUGGCCAGUAUUGAUAUCACUUUUCACCAGCCCUGGAAUGACUUUCUUGCCUUCUGUGGUUCGUGCCAAAAUCAUUCUGUUUCUACAAUUUCAUUUUUCUUGUUACUCACAUGUCUGCAUUUUGAAAUGUCUUGAUUUAUGGAAAGGCUCUACUGAGGCUCAAGGUAUUUGGGCUGCAGUUCUAUAGAGAUUCAGGGUGUUGCUGGGAUGUAAAGACAUGCACUCUCUGUGCCAAGAUCACUCUUUGUGUCACCCACUGCACUGAAAUAGCCUUUGCUCUGAGUUUCCUGCUUAUAACCUCUGAGAUGCCAUCAGCUGGAGGAGAGAACGGAACAGUAGCCAUCUUAAAGGGAAAGAGAACGCUCUGUUAUAGUACAGGAAAGAAACACUUUGGAGUUCACAUUUUAUUUCCAGAGGCAAUAUUAUGAGCAGCUGGUAAGGGCAAAAGUCAUGCAAUAAGGGACUGUGGGAAUAUUAAGUGAGUAGAUGGACUGGGGGGUGCUUGAGAGGAGUAAUCAAAAGAGGAGGAUUUGGUGCUUCUGAAAAAGAAACACUACGAAGCAUAGGCUGUUCUUCCCAGAAAUCAUUUGGCGUGUCCACAAAAUGGGUGUGGGUUGGUAGUAAAGGAUGAUCUUGCUUGUGAAGAAUUCAGUAGCAUCCCACGAGAUCCUUAGAACAAAAGUUUUUUGAGAAUUCCUUUUUGUAAGUAAGCCAUCCUAAUGCUGUUAUAGUUAUGUUGGACAUCUGCUUGGGCUUUGAGGAUUACCUCUUCCUCGAGGCCAGCUUCAGGGUGUAGAACAUGAAUCCUGUGGGAUGCAUAUUUUUAGUUUGGGUCAAAGCUGUGGUUGUGAGUGUAGGGUCACUUCAUUCUCAUAAGGAAUGACCCCAGAGAAGAAAGUAAGACCCACUCGUAAUGUUAGGGUCAGGAACUCUAAUUAUGGGCAGAUAUGUAAUUCUGUCCAUUAUGGUUCUCAUGUACGAGCCCUUUCUUCUCUCAUAGCACAGAAGGUUCCCCUGAAGAGGCCUCCAUCUGUUCUCUUCUUUCUGCCAUGUACUUAUGUAGACAUAGGUGUUGCAGUGAGGCUAUUCAGAUAGAAUGUGAUUCUCCCCUUCCCCCAGGCCGGAAAGAUAUACAAGAUCCAUGUAAUGGUCCACUCAGAACCAGGUGUGAUUGGCAAAAGGCCAAGAACAUUGUGUGAUGAUAACAAUAAACGAUAGAAAAACAAGGACAUCUAGCAGUCUUCUGGUAUUGAGAGAUUGAUGCAGCGCUGAGUCAGUAUGAACAGAGCAAUAAACAUAACAUGGUGAACCAAAGAUGUGCAUCAGUAUGAGUGAAUCCCAUCUGCGUCAAAGCACACUAAGCAGUGAAGUUCAUAAACGAUGCAUCAGAUGUUCCCUCCAAGUCAGUGAAUGGUUUGUCCAGUCUUCCUUUAGUACCUAGCUGGUACUUUAAAUAACAGUAAUGGUAUGCUAUUAAGACAAGCUAUAGGAGAAGGACAAGCACCUUAUCUAUUAGGUGGCAAUCGUGCCCUUCCACUCCAAGACAUUCUAUGAUUCUGUGAUUAUCCAGUUUGUCAUUGAGCGACAUCUCUUUCUCCAUGCUGAGCCCAUGGAUGCAGAUUGUAAGAAGUGGAGUAUCUGGCUGAUGAUGCAUGGCUCAGUCAUCCCAGCAGAUCACCCCAGUGACUCAUUGGGCAGUGGGUGGGAACAUCCCAGGCCAGACUUCUCCUGAAGAGCUGGCACAAUAACACAGCACUCCACAAAGCCUGGAGCUCUGAAUGCUUUCCAAGAUUGUACUUUCUUUUUUCCUUGAAAACGGUUUAUCUGUCUGAAAGGCUUCCCUCUAUUCUUGUCUCUGGUUUUACUAGCUGGAUUUGCUGGUUUUAGAGUGAAGAGCUCAUUAAUGUACUUCACCGACAUCAUGAUUUCUGCUUUCAGAACAGACUGAUAACAGAUGCUGUAUGCACCCAAACUUUCUUAGUACAAACUUGCCCUAAUUUUUAAAUUAACUUGUCACAGCCUAGGGUCACUUCUCAUCUGGUGACUUCUGUAGAAACACGAAGAAUUUGGGAUCAUCCAUUCUGUGAUUCGCCUUUCUAUCCCUCAUAGAGAUUUGGAAAUUUGAUGCUGUAGAUUGUUUAUUAAAUACAAUUUCCUCAUCUUGACUCUGUCAACCAGAAAUCAGGUGAAAUGAGAGGACACAUGCACCCUUGGUUCAAUGACGUUGGUCUAACUCCAUGAGCAAGAAGUCAUCUGCACUAUCUCAGUACAUCAGUUCCUCCAAUGUUAGCACACCAUUCCUUCUAGAGAGAUGAUAAAUCACUAUAUCGAGCACUCAGGGGACACACACCACGUUCCUGGUCCCUUUCAGUAAGCUGCCACAAAAAUACCAGGCCUCUGAUAGCUUGUAAAGCACUUAAUAAAAAGGCCCAACAUAUUUGAAAAUGCUGCCAUUCAUCUUAUUAAGCAAUAUCAAUCUUCUGAUAUUUAAUACCAUUAAAAAACAUCCACUUGCAAGUGAUGGCUUGUAUCAGGAAUGGUGUGGUGAGCAGGACUAGAGAAGUCAUCCUGCCUCUGUACUCGGCAUUGGUGAGGCCUCACCUCGAGUACUGUGUUCAGUUUUGGGCAUCUCCAUACAGA
This is a long non-coding RNA of Gallus gallus (chicken), 11149 nucleotides long. RefSeq lists it as uncharacterized. The transcript has 3 exons. NCBI's taxonomy places the organism in Eukaryota, Metazoa, Chordata, Aves, Galliformes, Phasianidae. The record is from RefSeq and is a predicted model, not a curated record.